UACGUAGGUUGCAAGCGUUGUCCGGAAUUACUGGGUGUAAAGCGCGUGUAGGCGGGAGGCCAAGUCUGCUGUGAAAUCGCCCGGCUCAACUGGGCGGGGUCGGUGGAAACUGGUCACCUGGAGGACGGUAGAGGCGAGUGGAAUUCCCGGUGUAGUGGUGAAAUGCGUAGAGAUCGGGAGGAACACCAGUGGCGAAGGCGGCUCGCUGGGCCGGACCUGACGCUGAGACGCGAAGGCGUGGGGAGCGAACAGG
Molecule: ribosomal RNA, 253 nt
Filed under: uncultured bacterium
Lineage: Bacteria
Description: partial 16S ribosomal RNA
Rfam family: Bacterial small subunit ribosomal RNA
Source: RNAcentral